This 950-nucleotide ribosomal RNA is filed under the name uncultured archaeon. RNAcentral describes it as "bacterial SSU rRNA". It matches the Rfam family "Archaeal small subunit ribosomal RNA", at positions 1 to 940 of the family's 1478-position model. The record is from RNAcentral.
UUCCGGUUGAUCCUGCCGGACCCGACUGCUAUUUGGGUGAGAAUAAGCCAUGCGAGUUGAAUGGGAUACCUAAAGUUCCCAUAGCAAACUGCUCAGUAACACAUGAUCAACUUACCCUAUAGAGAAAAAUAACCUCGGGAAACUGAGGAUAAUGUUUCAUAAUUGAAUUGGCUUGGAAAAGUUUUUCAAUGAAAAGGAUAAAAAAAAUGGUUUUUAUCUGCUAUAGGAUAGGAUCGUGUUCGAUUAUGGUUGUUGGUGAGAUAAUGGCUCACCAAGCCGAUAAUCGAUAGGGGCCGUGAGAGCGGGAGCCCCGAGAUGGGUACUGAGACAACGACCCAGGCCUUACGAGGCGCAGCAGGCGCGGAACCUCCGCAAUACACGAAAGUGUGACGGGGUUACCCAAAGUGUUCAAUAGAACUGUGGUAGGUGAGUAAUGUUCCCUACUAGAAAGGAGAGGGCAAGGCUGGUGCCAGCCGCCGCGGUAAAACCAGCUCUUCAAGUGGUCGGGAUAAUUAUUGGGCUUAAAGUGUCCGUAGCCGGUUUAGUAAGUUCCUGGUAAAAUCGGGUAGCUUAACUAUCUGCAUGCUAGGAAUACUGCUAUACUAGAGGGCGGGAGAGGUCUGAGGUACUACAGGGGUAGGGGUGAAAUCUUAUAAUCCUUGUAGGACCACCAGUGGCGAAGGCGUCAGACUGGAACGCGCCUGACGGUGAGGGACGAAAGCCAGGGGAGCGAACCGGAUUAGAUACCCGGGUAGUCCUGGCCGUAAACGAUGCAUACUAGGUGAUGGUACGGCCAUGAGCCGUAUCAGUGCCGUAGGGAAACCGUUAAGUGUGCCGCCUGGGAAGUACGGUCGCAAGGCUAAAACUUAAAGGAAUUGGCGGGGGAGCACCACAAGGGGUGAAGCCUGCGGUUCAAUUGGAUUCAACGCCGGGAAAUCACUAGUGCGGCC